Long non-coding RNA from Odocoileus virginianus texanus, 343 nucleotides. RefSeq lists it as uncharacterized. The record is from RefSeq and is a predicted model, not a curated record. Lineage: Eukaryota; Metazoa; Chordata; Mammalia; Artiodactyla; Cervidae.
GGACACUGCAAGAGGUCCUCAUUGCGAAAGUCUGCCGGACGGGAAAAGCUCGCUCAUUUUCCCGAUGAUGUUACACCAGAUAGUUGCCGCUACCUUAGGACCAGAGGAGACCUAGGACACCGAGGGCAACUGGGCAGCCUCACCAGCUAAGUGCCUCCCUCCUGCUUCUAAUGCUUCCUCAUUCCAGAUCAGCAUCUCAGCAGAAUUACAGCUGGAGCUGACCUGUUUAUGGUGGAGUUUCUCUCCUCUAUGCAGAAGUCUGAAUAAAAUCUGUCGUGCCAUCGGUAAGACAUGUCCAGUCCCAUUUUUCUUUGACGAGACUCGGCUUCCUGACUUGGAAAAU